CGCUUCGCUCGUGUGCAGUGAAAAUCCUUUUUUGCCGAGGCUGGUCACAAAAGAUUGGAACUUAUAGCGGGAAAAGCU
Molecule: small RNA, 78 nt
Filed under: Flavobacterium sp. 270
Lineage: Bacteria; Pseudomonadati; Bacteroidota; Flavobacteriia; Flavobacteriales; Flavobacteriaceae
Also listed under: 1 other name
Description: Flavo-1 RNA
Source: RNAcentral